AACUCUUAGCAGUGGAUCACUUGACUCAUGCUUCUAUGAAGAACGCAAGUAGCUGCGAGAAUAAUGUGAAUGGCAGGACACACUGAUCAUCAACACUUCCAACACACUUGGGGCCCCGGUUCUUCCCGCUACGCUUGUGUGAGCAUCG
Molecule: ribosomal RNA, 148 nt
Organism: Cavia porcellus (domestic guinea pig)
Lineage: Eukaryota; Metazoa; Chordata; Mammalia; Rodentia; Caviidae
Rfam family: 5.8S ribosomal RNA
About the family: 5.8S ribosomal RNA (5.8S rRNA) is a component of the large subunit of the eukaryotic ribosome. It is transcribed by RNA polymerase I as part of the 45S precursor that also contains 18S and 28S rRNA. Functionally, it is thought that 5.8S rRNA may be involved in ribosome translocation.
Source: Ensembl